Molecule: long non-coding RNA, 310 nt
Organism: Zophobas morio
Lineage: Eukaryota; Metazoa; Arthropoda; Insecta; Coleoptera; Tenebrionidae
Exons: 3
Source: RefSeq, a predicted model, not a curated record
CUGCAGAACGGCAACCUCUACUCUCAACUAAUAGGAAUGUGAAUGAGGUUCUCGAUAUUAUGAAAAAGAAUGUAGAGAAGGUUAUAGAAAGAGAAGAACAGUUAUCCAACAUCCAAGAACGUUCGGAUGCUUUGGAGGAAGGUUCUAGCAGAUUCAGCUCUGCAGGAAGGCAGGUUCGAAGAAAAAAGUUCUGGCAGAAUAAGAAAUGGUGGUUAUUGCUUUUAGGGAUUUUAUUUUUACUUGCGCUAAUUCUACUGCUAUCCUUCAAGCCGUGGCGGUAAAAAAAAAUUAAAUUCAAACUUAAAUUAAU